Molecule: small nuclear RNA, 120 nt
Filed under: Sus scrofa (pig)
Lineage: Eukaryota; Metazoa; Chordata; Mammalia; Artiodactyla; Suidae
Description: U4 spliceosomal RNA
Rfam family: U4 spliceosomal RNA
About the family: U4 small nuclear RNA (U4 snRNA) is a component of the major U2-dependent spliceosome. The structure of U4 snRNA from yeast and human has been reported. U4 snRNA presents a k-turn RNA motif in the 5p-SL related to recognition of Snu13 protein.
Source: Rfam by way of RNAcentral
AGCUUUGUGCAGUGGCAGUAUCUAGGAUCAUAGCCAGUGAGGUUCAUCCAAGGCACCAUUAUUGCUAAUUGAAAACUUUCCAUUAAAAAAAUUAAAAAGUAAUAAAAAAUUUUUAAAAAG